UACGUAGGGUGCGAGCGUUGUCCGGAAUUACUGGGCGUAAAGAGCUCGUAGGUGGUUUGUCGCGUCGUCUGUGAAAUUCCGGGGCUUAACCUCGGGCGUGCAGGCGAUACGGGCAAUACUUGAGUGCUGUAGGGGAGACUGGAAUUCCUGGUGUAGCGGUGGAAUGCGCAGAUAUCAGGAGGAACACCGAUGGCGAAGGCAGGUCUCUGGGCAGUAACUGACGCUGAGGAGCGAAAGCAUGGGUAGCGAACAGG
RNAcentral lists this ribosomal RNA (254 nucleotides) under uncultured bacterium. RNAcentral's name for it is "partial 16S ribosomal RNA". It matches the Rfam family "Bacterial small subunit ribosomal RNA", at positions 524 to 776 of the family's 1533-position model. The record is from RNAcentral.